RNAcentral lists this ribosomal RNA (245 nucleotides) under uncultured bacterium. RNAcentral describes it as "partial 16S ribosomal RNA". It matches the Rfam family "Bacterial small subunit ribosomal RNA", at positions 109 to 354 of the family's 1533-position model. The record is from RNAcentral.
AGUAACGCGUGGGUAACCUGCCUUACACAGGGGGAUAACACCUGGAAACAGGUGCUAAUACCGCAUGAUGCAGCGGGGUCGCAUGAUUUUGCUGCCAAAGAUUUAUCGUCCAAAGAUGAGCUCGCGUCUGAUUAGCCAGUUGGCGGGGUAACGGCCCACCAAAGCGACGAUCAGUAGCCGGACUGAGAGGUUGAACGGCCACAUUGGGACUGAGACACGGCCCAGACUCCUACGGGAGGCAGCAG